CAUCAAGCAGAGAAUCUGUGCAAAGGCUCAUGAGAGCCCGAAGUGUCCAUCAGUUGUACCCUUCAAAAUCCUUCAAUCUGAAGGGCCCUUUGAAGUGGCCAGUUUUGAGCACUUCGGUUUGGAACUACCCUUCAAUAUGGUGGCCAUGAUUGUUUUCACUCCAAAGUGCGAUAUAUCCCAAUUGGAACGCACCGUAAAUCUUCCUCUUAACACUGUGAGAGGGCGAUUCACUGGCUAACACUGUAUAGGUGGAGCUCAGUGAAAAAUAACAAUAAUGUUAAUUUAUACUGUAUGUUUGUUAUCUUACAGGAAGCAUCACACCUGAGGGAUUCUUCGUUUCACUGUGUGACUAUUUUGAGGUCCGGGACAAACUCUCCUUAUUGCAAAAAGAGAACCUCAAAUACAGAUAUCUGACGGUCUGUACAUGCAUGAUCUCUACCUGCAUUGAAAAGCCCUGUCAACCCAGCACCAAAAAUGAGUGUAUACUGUCAGACUGGUCAUCCUUAUGGCAAUUUGAGGAUGGAGAAUCAGUUCACGAGUCUGCCUGCAUCAGACACAGCGAUGGCUCCUGCGGCUGGUAUGAAGGAACUGGCAAACCUUCUGAAAAUGACACCAUGGACAUGUCUGAAGUCUGAUGGCUGAGCGCAGGAGUGGUUUCUCACUGUAAAAGAAGCUGCUUGAUGCUGUCCAAGAAGAUCAGACUGUUCAGAUGUAAACACAUGCAAACCCGUUAACCUGCUGUACUUUCUUGUAGCCACAUAGAGCACCUUAACCACUAUUGCUUAUCGACCACACAGAUCACUCUAUUAACUGCCUAGUGAGCACCUAACUUAAGCAACAACCUAACAACCACUCAGUACACCUUAGAAACCACUUAGCAUUCCUCAAACAACCAUCAAGGCCAUACUCUUCAAACUUGCAUAUACAAUUAAUGGUCCAACUCAAAGAUGUUGCCAUGAGUCGGUUGUGCACCUUUGAAAUGUGUGCUUUUAUUACCAAAUUAACGAUGUGGUCAUUUAGCUUUGCCUGGCUAAAGAGCAAUUUACAUUAGAAAUAGCAGUGCUGGAUUAUUAGCAUGUCAUAUUUACUGUAUGCUACAAUAUGAUGACAUAUGCUUUACAUUGGGUCCAAAUCAUUAGAUUUUUCUAUUUUAAAAGGAAUAAAUAGAAAUGAAAAAACUAAUUCAGUUUUUUUUUUGUUAAAAAUUUAUAUUAUAUAUAUAUAUAUAUAUAUAUAUAUAUAUAUAUAUAUAUAUAUAUAUAUAUAUAUAAAGGGUUUAUGGCUUAAUAUGGCAUAGUUAAAUGGUUUAUUCACAAGUAUCUUCUACACAGACACAAAUUAGAAGGAGUGUUCAAUGGGCCUUUUUCACAUUUAUUGUCAUGCUCAUGCUUUUAAAUGUGUGCACGAAAACGAAGAAAUAAUCCACAAUGGUCUUUUAAUAAGUAAUCCACAAGGAACACAAGAGAAUCACUAGAACCAGUGCAGCACAAAACGUAGACACAAACAAUAACUGGCACCAACUGAACAGAAGAGGGAGAACAGAAACAAAUGCAGGCAAGGGACUAAUGACUUAAUUAAUAGAACACAGGUGAAAUUAAGAAUUAAUUAAACACAAAGGGAAAACUAGGUCAAAUGACAAAGACAUAACUAAGGCCCCGUCCACACGGAGAUGCGUUUAGCUGUAUAUGUAAAGAUUUUGUAUCCUAUCUGCGUUUUGUUCAGACGUAUCCAGAGUUUUGGGAGCGUGAAAUCUGGUGAUGGCGAGAUGAAGCCUCAUUAAGCAUUAAAGCUUUUUAGACAAGUGGUUUACAAAAGGAUUAAUUUCUCCAGGCUUCAUAUGCUCACAAUACUACCUGGUGGCCAAAGAGUGUAAAACAAGCAGAUACAUUACAGUUGACCUGGUGUGGUCUGUGAUACACUGUAUUUUGCGCCAGUUAAAGAGGUCAUAUGAUGAUGUUAAAAAGAACAUUAUUUUGUGUAUUUGGUGUAAUAAAAUGUGUUUAUGC
Molecule: long non-coding RNA, 2006 nt
Organism: Cyprinus carpio (common carp)
Lineage: Eukaryota; Metazoa; Chordata; Actinopteri; Cypriniformes; Cyprinidae
Exons: 2
Source: RefSeq, a predicted model, not a curated record